Molecule: ribosomal RNA, 466 nt
Filed under: Vreelandella stevensii
Lineage: Bacteria; Pseudomonadati; Pseudomonadota; Gammaproteobacteria; Oceanospirillales; Halomonadaceae
Description: partial 16S ribosomal RNA
Rfam family: Bacterial small subunit ribosomal RNA
Source: RNAcentral
CCUACGGGAGGCAGCAGUGGGGAAUAUUGGACAAUGGGCGAAAGCCUGAUCCAGCCAUGCCGCGUGUGUGAAGAAGGCCUUCGGGUUGUAAAGCACUUUCAGUGGGGAAGAAAGCCUUGGGGCUAAUACCCUCGAGGAAGGACAUCACCCACAGAAGAAGCACCGGCUAACUCCGUGCCAGCAGCCGCGGUAAUACGGGAGGGUGCGAGCGUUAAUCGGAAUUACUGGGCGUAAAGCGCGCGUAGGCGGUCUGAUAAGCCGGUUGUGAAAGCCCCGGGCUCAACCUGGGAACGGCAUCCGGAACUGUCAGGCUAGAGUGCAGGAGAGGAAGGUAGAAUUCCCGGUGUAGCGGUGAAAUGCGUAGAGAUCGGGAGGAAUACCAGUGGCGAAGGCGGCCUUCUGGACUGACACUGACGCUGAGGUGCGAAAGCGUGGGUAGCAAACAGGAUUAGAUACCCCUGUAGUC